GACCGCGAGCUCGGAGUCCGGACUUGUCGCGCAACCUGUCUCCUUCGGUUCCACCCCAACCUAGCUGGACUCUCGGUCCGGUCCCCGCCCUCUGGAGACUCAGCCAUUAAAGUUGAGGUGGGGGGAUGAGGAUGUGGGCGGUGUCCAGAUCUUGAGCCAGAUGAUUGUGCAUCCAUUUACAUCUUUAAUAUAGAUCCACCUCCAUCUACUUUAAACACACCACUUUGCUUACCACAUCAUGGAUUACCGUCUCACUCUUCUGUUCUGUCACCAUCGUUUCAGCUCCAAAGUCACAAAAACUAUGAAGGAACUUGUGAGAUUCCUGAAUCUAAAUAUAGCCCAUUAGGUGGUCCCAAACCCUUUGAGUGCCCAAGUAUUCAAAUUACAUCUAUCUCUCCUAACUGUCAUCAAGAAAUAGAUGCACAUGAAGAUGACCUACAGAUAAAUGACCCAGAACGGGAAUUUUUGGAAAGGCCUUCUAGAGAUCAUCUCUAUCUUCCUCUUGAGCCAUCCUACCGGGAGUCUUCUCUUAGUCCUAGUCCUGCCAGCAGCAUCUCUUCUAGGAGCUGGUUCUCUGAUGCAUCUUCUUGUGAAUCACUUUCACAUAUUUAUGAUGAUGUGGACUCAGAGUUGAAUGAAGCUGCAGCCCGAUUUACCCUUGGAUCCCCUCUGACUUCUCCUGGUGGCUCUCCAGGGGGCUGCCCUGGAGAAGAAACUUGGCAUCAACAGUAUGGACUUGGACACUCAUUAUCACCCAGGCAAUCUCCUUGCCACUCUCCUAGAUCCAGUGUCACUGAUGAGAAUUGGCUGAGCCCCAGGCCAGCCUCAGGACCCUCAUCAAGGCCCACAUCCCCCUGUGGGAAACGGAGGCACUCCAGUGCUGAAGUUUGUUAUGCUGGGUCCCUUUCACCCCAUCACUCACCUGUUCCUUCUCCUGGUCACUCCCCCAGGGGAAGUGUGACAGAAGAUACCUGGCUCAAUGCUUCUGUCCAUGGUGGGUCAGGCCUUGGCCCUGCAGUUUUUCCAUUUCAGUACUGUGUAGAGACUGACAUCCCUCUCAAAACAAGGAAAACUUCUGAAGAUCAAGCUGCCAUACUACCAGGAAAAUUAGAGCUGUGUUCAGAUGACCAAGGGAGUUUAUCACCAUCCCGGGAGACUUCAAUAGAUGAUGGCCUUGGAUCUCAGUAUCCUUUAAAGAAAGAUUCAUGUGGUGAUCAGUUUCUUUCAGUUCCUUCACCCUUUACCUGGAGCAAACCAAAGCCUGGCCACACCCCUAUAUUUCGCACAUCUUCAUUACCUCCGCUAGACUGGCCUUUACCAGCUCAUUUUGGACAAUGUGAACUGAAAAUAGAAGUGCAGCCUAAAGCUCAUCAUCGAGCCCAUUAUGAAACUGAAGGUAGCCGAGGGGCAGUAAAAGCAUCUACUGGGGGACAUCCUGUUGUGAAGCUCCUGGGCUAUAACGAAAAGCCGAUAAAUCUACAAAUGUUUAUUGGGACAGCAGAUGAUCGAUAUUUACGACCUCAUGCAUUUUACCAGGUGCAUCGAAUCACUGGGAAGACAGUCGCUACUGCAAGCCAAGAGAUAAUAAUUGCCAGUACAAAAGUUCUGGAAAUUCCACUUCUUCCUGAAAACAAUAUGUCAGCCAGUAUUGAUUGUGCAGGUAUUUUGAAACUCCGCAAUUCAGAUAUAGAACUUCGAAAAGGAGAAACUGAUAUUGGCAGAAAGAAUACUAGAGUACGACUUGUGUUUCGUGUACACAUCCCACAGCCCAGUGGAAAAGUCCUUUCUCUGCAGAUAGCCUCUAUACCCGUUGAGUGCUCCCAGCGGUCUGCUCAAGAACUUCCUCAUAUUGAGAAGUACAGUAUCAACAGUUGUUCUGUAAAUGGAGGUCAUGAAAUGAUUGUGACUGGAUCUAAUUUUCUUCCAGAAUCCAAAAUCAUUUUUCUUGAAAAAGGACAAGAUGGACGACCUCAGUGGGAGGUAGAAGGGAAGAUAAUCAGGGAAAAAUGUCAAGGGGCUCACAUUGUCCUUGAAGUUCCUCCAUAUCAUAACCCAGCAGUUACAGCUGCAGUGCAGGUGCACUUUUAUCUUUGCAAUGGCAAGAGGAAAAAAAGCCAGUCUCAACGUUUUACUUAUACACCAGUUUUGAUGAAGCAAGAACACGGAGAAGAGAUUGAUUUGUCUUCAGUUCCAUCUUUGCCUGUGCCUCAUCCUGCUCAGACCCAGAGGCCUUCCUCUGAUUCAGGGUGUUCACAUGACAGUGUACUAUCAGGACAGAGAAGUUUGGUUUGUUCCAUCCCACAAACAUAUGCAUCCAUGGUGACCUCAUCCCAUCUGCCACAGUUGCAGUGUGGAGAUGAGAGUGUUAGUAAAGAACGGCAUAUGAUUCCUUCUCCAGUUGUACACCAUCCUUUUCAAGUCACACCAACACCUCCUUUGGGGUCUUCCUAUCAGCCUAUGCAAACUAACGUUGUGUACAAUGGACCAACUUGUCUUCCUAUUAAUGCUGCCUCUAGUCAAGAAUUUGAUUCAGUUUUGUUUCAGCAGGAUGCAACUCUUCCUAGUUUAGUGAAUCUUGGCUGUCAACCAUUGUCAUCCAUACCAUUUCAUUCUUCAAAUUCAGGCUCAACAGGACAUCUCUUAGCCCAUACACCUCAUUCUGUACAUACCCUGCCUCAUCUGCAAUCAAUGGGAUAUCAUUGUUCAAAUACAGGACAAAGAUCUCUUUCUUCUCCAGUGGCUGACCAGAUUACAGGUCAGCCUUCUUCUCAGUUACAACCUAUUACAUAUGGUCCUUCACAUUCAGGGUCUGCUACAACAGCUUCUCCAGCAGCUUCUCAUCCCUUGGCUAGUUCACCGCUUUCUGGGCCACCAUCUCCUCAGCUUCAGCCUAUGCCUUACCAAUCUCCUAGCUCAGGAACUGCCUCAUCACCGUCUCCAGCCACCAGAAUGCAUUCUGGACAGCACUCAACUCAAGCACAAAGUACAGGCCAGGGGGGUCUUUCUGCACCGUCAUCCUUAAUAUGUCACAGUUUGUGUGAUCCAGCUUCAUUUCCACCUGAUGGGGCAACUGUGAGCAUUAAACCUGAACCAGAAGAUCGGGAGCCUAACUUUGCAACCAUUGGUCUGCAGGACAUCACUUUAGAUGAUGGUAAGUUCAUCUGUGAUAUGUUCUUGAAGUAGUGAAGAUUCAGGAACUUUAUUCUCCCAAGUGUCAUGAAAAAGUUUCUAUGGAUUGCUUAUUGGCAUAUGGUUGGGCUUUUAAAUAAGUUGUUAUUAGAAAUAUAUGUUAAUAUAUAACUUUGCCAGGCACCACGGCUCACGCCUGUAUCCCAGCACUUUGGAAGGCUGAGGCUGGUGGAUCACAAGGUCAGGAGUUCGAGACCAGCCUGGCCAACAUGGUGGAACGCUGUCUCUACUAAAAAUACAAAAAAUUAGCCGGGCGUGGUGGUGUGUGCCUAUAAUCCCAGCUACUCAGGAGGCUGAGACAGGAGAAUCGCUUGAACCCGGGAGGUGGCAGUUGCAGGGAGCCAAGAUCACACCAUUGCACUGCAGCCUGGGCGACAGAGCAAGACUCCAUUUCG
RNAcentral lists this small RNA (3584 nucleotides) under Pongo abelii (Sumatran orangutan). RNAcentral's name for it is "retained intron". The record is from RNAcentral. Lineage: Eukaryota; Metazoa; Chordata; Mammalia; Primates; Hominidae.